This 853-nucleotide long non-coding RNA is filed under the name Bos taurus (domestic cattle). RNAcentral describes it as "long non-coding RNA NONBTAT007665". The record is from RNAcentral. Lineage: Eukaryota; Metazoa; Chordata; Mammalia; Artiodactyla; Bovidae.
UGCUUGUUAAUGAUUUGCUUAUUUACCCAAAUUUCCCUUGUGUUUUCUUUUAUAUGAUCACAUUGAUCUAUGUAGCAUUUACCAGGAGAAAAUGAGCUUUCUCAGGAUAGAAGAAUAUAUGACAUUGAGUAUGCAUUCUCACUCCCCCAAAUAAGCUAGAUUGACUUUCCUUUACUUAGAUAUAUUUAAAGAUAUUUAUUAUAGUUUUCAACUAAUAAUUUUAUUAAGAAGUAUAUGUCCAAGGGAGAAACAAGCAUUUCUUAAAUUGCUGCCUUUAAUGUGUUUCAAGGAGGUUACAUCUUACUUUCUCUGACCCAUAUUACCAAGCUUCAGAUACAUUUAUUACAAUCUGAUUUGCUUGCAAAAUGAACCUAUAUUAGUAUUGGAGAAACAUCUGUCACGUGUUUAACAAAUUGUUUAGGCAGCAAUGUUUUAAUCAGAACAGUCUCAAAAUAGGUAUAAGCAAAUGGGAGGUGCCUUACUAGACAACUAGAAUCUUUGAUUCUAGGGUUGCAAAAUUGACUGAGAAAGAUCAUCCCUUAGACUGUAAGCAUUGAGUCUGCAUGGUCUGGAAUCUGCACAGUUCUCGUAAGAAGUUAUGGGUUGGGACCAGAAAAGGCCCCCACAUUUUUCAGCACAAACACCAUUAAAAAGCUGUGUCUUAGUUUUAAAUUCUAAAGCUGAAGUAAAGAAGCAACUGUGGUCAGUAGCAUAGGAAAUUUUUUAUUCCUGUUAAAUUCAUUAUCUGAGUUUAAAUUGGUCAUGAAUUACAUAAAUAUAAAAAUGCAUAUAAAAAUGCCUAAAUAUGUUUUUAUCCCAGAAGUUUAUUAAGCAUAUAUACUUAAUGGUAUUA